UGUAUAAUGGGUCAGCGACUUAUAUUCUGUAGCAAGGUUAACCGAAUAGGGGAGCCGAAGGGAAACCGAGUCUUAACUGGGCGUUAAGUUGCAGGGUAUAGACCCGAAACCCGGUGAUCUAGCCAUGGGCAGGUUGAAGGUUGGGUAACACUAACUGGAGGACCGAACCGACUAAUGUUGAAAAAUUAGCGGAUGACUUGUGGCUGGGGGUGAAAGGCCAAUCAAACCGGGAGAUAGCUGGUUCUCCCCGAAAGCUAUUUAGGUAGCGCCUCGUGAACUCAUCUCCGGGGGUAGAGCACUGUUUCGGCAAGGGGGUCAUCCCGACUUACCAACCCGAUGCAAACUGCGAAUACCGGAGAAUGUUAUCACGGGAGACACACGGCGGGUGCUAACGUCCGUCGUGAAGAGGGAAACAACCCAGACCGCCAGCUAAGGUCCCAAAGUCAUGGUUAAGUGGGAAACGAUGUGGGAAGGCCCAGACAGCCAGGAUGUUGGCUUAGAAGCAGCCAUCAUUUAAAGAAAGCGUAAUAGCUCACUGGUCGAGUCGGCCUGCGCGGAAGAUGUAACGGGGCUAAACCAUGCACCGAAGCUGCGGCAGCGACGCUUAUGCGUUGUUGGGUAGGGGAGCGUUCUGUAAGCCUGUGAAGGUGUACUGUGAGGUAUGCUGGAGGUAUCAGAAGUGCGAAUGCUGACAUAAGUAACGAUAAAGCGGGUGAAAAGCCCGCUCGCCGGAAGACCAAGGGUUCCUGUCCAACGUUAAUCGGGGCAGGGUGAGUCGACCCCUAAGGCGAGGCCGAAAGGCGUAGUCGAUGGGAAACAGGUUAAUAUUCCUGUACUUGGUGUUACUGCGAAGGGGGGACGGAGAAGGCUAUGUUGGCCGGGCGACGGUUGUCCCGGUUUAAGCGUGUAGGCUGGUUUUCCAGGCAAAUCCGGAAAAUCAAGGCUGAGGCGUGAUGACGAGGCACUACGGUGCUGAAGCAACAAAUGCCCUGCUUCCAGGAAAAGCCUCUAAGCAUCAGGUAACAUCAAAUCGUACCCCAAACCGACACAGGUGGUCAGGUAGAGAAUACCAAGGCGCUUGAGAGAACUCGGGUGAAGGAACUAGGCAAAAUGGUGCCGUAACUUCGGGAGAAGGCACGCUGAUAUGUAGGUGAAGCGACUUGCUCGUGGAGCUGAAAUCAGUCGAAGAUACCAGCUGGCUGCAACUGUUUAUUAAAAACACAGCACUGUGCAAACACGAAAGUGGACGUAUACGGUGUGACGCCUGCCCGGUGCCGGAAGGUUAAUUGAUGGGGUUAGCGCAAGCGAAGCUCUUGAUCGAAGCCCCGGUAAACGGCGGCCGUAACUAUAACGGUCCUAAGGUAGCGAAAUUCCUUGUCGGGUAAGUUCCGACCUGCACGAAUGGCGUAAUGAUGGCCAGGCUGUCUCCACCCGAGACUCAGUGAAAUUGAACUCGCUGUGAAGAUGCAGUGUACCCGCGGCAAGACGGAAAGACCCCGUGAACCUUUACUAUAGCUUGACACUGAACAUUGAGCCUUGAUGUGUAGGAUAGGUGGGAGGCUUUGAAGUGUGGACGCCAGUCUGCAUGGAGCCGACCUUGAAAUACCACCCUUUAAUGUUUGAUGUUCUAACGUUGACCCGUAAUC
Molecule: ribosomal RNA, 1646 nt
Filed under: Escherichia coli
Lineage: Bacteria; Pseudomonadati; Pseudomonadota; Gammaproteobacteria; Enterobacterales; Enterobacteriaceae
Description: partial 23S ribosomal RNA
Rfam family: Bacterial large subunit ribosomal RNA
Source: RNAcentral